CGAACGGGUGAGUAAUGCGUGACCAACCUGCCCCAUGCUCCAGAAUAGCUCUUGGAAACGGGUGGUAAUGCUGGAUGCUCCAACUUGACGCAUGUCUUGUUGGGAAAGUGUUUAGUGGCAUGGGAUGGGGUCGCGUCCUAUCAGCUUGUAGGCGGGGUAAUGGCCCACCUAGGCUUGACGGGUAGCCGGCCUGAGAGGGCGGACGGCCACAUUGGGACUGAGAUACGGCCCAGACUCCUACGGGAGGCAGCAGUC
Molecule: ribosomal RNA, 255 nt
Filed under: uncultured Gardnerella sp.
Lineage: Bacteria; Bacillati; Actinomycetota; Actinomycetes; Bifidobacteriales; Bifidobacteriaceae
Description: partial 16S ribosomal RNA
Rfam family: Bacterial small subunit ribosomal RNA
Source: RNAcentral